This 253-nucleotide ribosomal RNA is filed under the name uncultured bacterium. RNAcentral's name for it is "partial 16S ribosomal RNA". It matches the Rfam family "Bacterial small subunit ribosomal RNA", at positions 524 to 776 of the family's 1533-position model. The record is from RNAcentral.
UACGGAGGGUGCGAGCGUUGUCCGGAAUCACUGGGCGUAAAGGGCGCGUAGGCGGCUACUUAAGCGUGUGGUGAAAGUCCGGGGCUCAACCCCGGAUCGGCCGUGCGAACUGGGAAGCUCGAGCCCACUAGAGGCAGGCGGAAUUCCGGGUGUAGCGGUGGAAUGCGUAGAGAUCCGGAAGAACACCGAUGGCGAAGGCGGCCUGCUGGGGUGGAGCUGACGCUGAGGCGCGACAGCGUGGGGAGCAAACAGG